CCAAAGAAUAUUAAGUCCUUUGGUGCGUAAUAAGCAGAUAUAUCUUCCAGUACCAUCCAGUCUGACUGAACUUUCUGGUUUGGAGUUGAAGCAGAAUGCUGGUUCUUUAUCAGGAUUUGGUGAGACUUCUAUUCACACACCUACAAAAUCCAGAUUCCGGCAAAGCAGCCACAGCAUUAGUUCACAUGUUUCAGAUAACACAAAUUUUGGGAGCAGUUCAUCAAUAACAUUUCCCAUAUUACAACGUACUGCUGAAGAAAAAAUACUGAACUCUGAUAGACUUACCCUGGAAAGGCAGAAACUGACAGUGUGCCCAGUUAUUGAUGGGGAAGAUCAUCUUCGCCUUUUGAAUUUCCAACAUAACUUUAUAACCCGGAUCCAAAAUAUUUCUAAUCUGCAGCAUCUUGUUUUCUUAGAUUUAUAUGAUAAUCAGAUAGAGGAAAUAAGUGGAGUUUCAACUCUGAGAUCCCUAAGAGUCCUUUUGUUGGGAAAGAACAGAAUAAAGAAGAUCUCAAAUCUGGAGAACCUAAAAAAUCUUGAUGUUUUAGAUCUUCAUGGAAAUCAGGUACAGUACAAUA
Long non-coding RNA from Cariama cristata (Red-legged seriema), 578 nucleotides. RefSeq lists it as uncharacterized. Lineage: Eukaryota; Metazoa; Chordata; Aves; Cariamiformes; Cariamidae. The record is from RefSeq and is a predicted model, not a curated record. The transcript is spliced from 4 exons.